RNAcentral lists this ribosomal RNA (489 nucleotides) under uncultured bacterium. RNAcentral's name for it is "partial 16S ribosomal RNA". It matches the Rfam family "Bacterial small subunit ribosomal RNA", at positions 30 to 507 of the family's 1533-position model. The record is from RNAcentral.
AUUGAACGCUGGCGGCAGGCUUAACACAUGCAAGUCGAACGGUAGCAGGAGAAAGCCUGCUUUCUUGCUGACGAGUGGCGGACGGGUGAGUAAUGCUUGGGAAUCUGGCUUAUGGAGGGGGAUAACUACGGGAAACUGUAGCUAAUACCGCGUAAUAUCUUCGGAUUAAAGAAUGGGACUUUUAGCCAUUCGCCAUAAGAUGAGCCCAAGUGGGAUUAGGUAGUUGGUGGGGUAAAGGCCUACCAAGCCGACGAUCUCUAGCUGGUCUGAGAGGAUGACCAGCCACACUGGAACUGAGACACGGUCCAGACUCCUACGGGAGGCAGCAGUGGGGAAUAUUGCGCAAUGGGGGCAACCCUGACGCAGCCAUGCCGCGUGAAUGAAGAAGGCCUUCGGGUUGUAAAGUUCUUUCGGUGGUGAGGAAGGCUAAUAUGUUAAUAGCAUAUUAGAUUGACGCUAGCCACAGAAGAAGCACCGGCUAACUCCGUG